RNAcentral lists this ribosomal RNA (310 nucleotides) under Algyroides nigropunctatus. RNAcentral's name for it is "partial 12S ribosomal RNA". It matches the Rfam family "Bacterial small subunit ribosomal RNA", at positions 869 to 1344 of the family's 1533-position model. Lineage: Eukaryota; Metazoa; Chordata; Lepidosauria; Squamata; Lacertidae. The record is from RNAcentral.
CCGCCAGAGAACUACAAGUGAAAAACUUUAAACUCAAAGGACUUGACGGUGUCCCAUAUCGACCUAGAGGAGCCUGUCCUAUAAUCGAUACCCCUCGUUCCACCCAACCUCAACUAGCACAACUACAGCCUAUAUACCGCCGUCGACCAGCCUACCCUAUGAAGGCCCAACAGUAGACACAAUAGCCCCAUCGCUAAUACGUCAGGUCAAGGUGUAGCAAUGUUGAGGAAGAGAUUGGCUACAUUUUUUGUAACAAAAAAUACGAAAAGCACAAUGAAAUCAUGCUUGAAGGUGAAUUUAGUAGUAAACU